GACGAACGCUGGCGGCGUGCUUAACACAUGCAAGUCGAACGAUGAAGAAGAGAAACGCGAACUUCGGUUCAAAUUUCACUUCGGAUUAGCGGCAGACGGGUGAGUAACGCGUGAGCAACCUACCUCUUACAAAGGGAUAGCCUCGGGAAACCGUGAUUAAUACCAUAUGACACAUUCAUAAGGCAUCUUAAGAAUGUUAAAGCUACGGCGGUAAGAGAUGUGCUCGCGUCCCAUUAGCUAGUUGGUGAGGUAACGGCCCACCAAGGCGACGAUGGGUAACCGGCCUGAGAGGGUGAACGGUCACAUUGGAACUGAGACACGGUCCAAACUCCUACGGGAGGCAGCAGUGGGGAAUAUUGCACAAUGGAGGGAACUCUGAUGCAGCGACGCCGCGUGAGCGAUGAAGGAAUUCGUUUCGUAAAGCUCUGUUCUAUGGGAAGAAAAGGACUGUACCAUAGGAGAAAGCCCCGGCUAAAUACGUG
RNAcentral lists this ribosomal RNA (482 nucleotides) under uncultured bacterium. RNAcentral describes it as "partial 16S ribosomal RNA". It matches the Rfam family "Bacterial small subunit ribosomal RNA", at positions 28 to 507 of the family's 1533-position model. The record is from RNAcentral.